Jaculus jaculus (lesser Egyptian jerboa) is the source of this 999-nucleotide long non-coding RNA. RefSeq lists it as uncharacterized. The record is from RefSeq and is a predicted model, not a curated record. NCBI's taxonomy places the organism in Eukaryota, Metazoa, Chordata, Mammalia, Rodentia, Dipodidae. The transcript has 4 exons.
CCCUGCGGAGCUCCGAGCCGGUGCACCGGCUCCUCUAAGCAGGUUUUCGGUGGUGGUGGUGUGCGGGGCUGGGGGCGUCCCAGAGCAUCCCUGCGACGCGGGCUGCUUCUGAGUCCCCGGGGACUGUGCGUGGGAAGGACACACCCCAGGACCCCACCCCAUCGCUGGGGUGCAGUCUGUGGGAGAGCCCAGGAAUCUGGGUUUGGGGUGGAGCAGCAGCACCAGGUACAAGCCUGAGUUCAUCAGCUCACUCCGCGCCUAAACAUGGGGGAGAAAGCGCAUCCGCUCAGCUACGAGGCAAUCACGCGCAGUCAUGUGGUGCAGGGGAAUGAGAGGCCAGGAGGCGUCGAGAAAUGGAACAGCCCGAGCUCCAAGCUGCGUUUGAUAAGGUGCUUUGACCCAGCAAUGAGAAGGUCGGUACAACACUGGCACAGGCUGAGCAGAUGAUGAGAUGCCAUUGAGUAAGGGUCCCGGACUUCCGUUCUACACGGAUCUUCCACUACACUUUGCUUGCUGAGUGAUGGUCUCACCCAAAGUCCUCUCCAGCCAGCCGGCCCAUCACCACCCCUACCGCUGGAAAGGACACUUCAGUCGUAAGGUCUUGGAUGGUUCUGGGGACCUCGGGGACUUGGCUCGGGCUUCUUCUGGUCUGUUGCUUUCACACACCUGCUUUGGAUGUUUUCUCCUGCAUUUCUACCUGGACGUAUUUCCAUAGCUCCCUUGCAGCUGUCACCUUCUGUGGAAGCAUCCUGAUGACUGUCGCCUCCUGUGGAAGCGCCCUGAUGGCCCACAUCUGUCCCAGGCGCUCCUUUUACUCUCUGGCUCCUAAACACUUGUCUGUAUCUUGUUACGUCCACCUUGCUGUUGUUAACGCCCCUACCUCUUUGCAUGGUAGAUGUGGGUGUUGCUCUCUUAGCUGCAUAGAGCAGGGUGGGUCUGGCUGCCUGGCCCCAGUGCAGGUAUCUGUAGCUUCCCGCCUGCCUGGCAGGGCUUUGAACU